AACGAACGCUGGCGGCAUGCCUAACACAUGCAAGUCGAACGAGACCUUCGGGUCUAGUGGCGCACGGGUGCGUAACGCGUGGGAACCUGCCUUUAGGUUCGGAAUAACUCAGAGAAAUUUGAGCUAAUACCGGAUGAUGUCUUCGGACCAAAGAUUUAUCGCCUUUAGAUGGGCCCGCGUUGGAUUAGCUAGUUGGUGGGGUAAAGGCCUACCAAGGCGACGAUCCAUAGCUGGUCUGAGAGGAUGAUCAGCCACACUGGGACUGAGACACGGCCCAGACUCCUACGGGAGGCAGCAGUGGGGAAUAUUGGACAAUGGGCGAAAGCCUGAUCCAGCAAUGCCGCGUGAGUGAUAAAGGCCUUAGGGUUGUAAAGCUCUUUUACCCGAGAUGAUAAUGACAGUAUCGGGAGAAUAAGCUCCGGCUAACUCCGUG
Molecule: ribosomal RNA, 433 nt
Filed under: uncultured bacterium
Lineage: Bacteria
Description: partial 16S ribosomal RNA
Rfam family: Bacterial small subunit ribosomal RNA
Source: RNAcentral